AGUUUGAUCAUGGCUCAGAGUGAACGCUGGCGGCAGGCCUAAUACAUGCAAGUCGAACGGCAGCACAGCAGAGCUUGCUCUGUGGGUGGCGAGUGGCGGACGGGUGAGGAAUACAUGGGAAUCUGCCCAGUCGUGGGGGAUAACGUAGGGAAACUUACGCUAAUACCGCAUGCGCCCUUCGGGGGAAAGCCGGGGACCUUCGGGCCUGGCGCGAUUGGAUGAGCCCAUGUCGGAUUAGCUGGUUGGCGGGGUAAUGGCCCACCAAGGCGACGAUCCGUAGCUGGUCUGAGAGGAUGAUCAGCCACACUGGAACUGAGACACGGUCCAGACUCCUACGGGAGGCAGCAGUAGGGAAUAUUGGACAAUGGGCGCAAGCCUGAUCCAGCCAUGCCGCGUGAGUGAAGAAGGCCCUCGGGUUGUAAAGCUCUUUUGUCCGGAAAGAAAAGCGCCGGGUUAAUACCCUGGUGUCCUGACGGUACCGGAAGAAUAAGCACCGGCUAACUUCGUG
Molecule: ribosomal RNA, 508 nt
Filed under: uncultured bacterium
Lineage: Bacteria
Description: bacterial SSU rRNA
Rfam family: Bacterial small subunit ribosomal RNA
Source: RNAcentral